This 93-nucleotide transfer RNA is filed under the name bacterium LRH843. RNAcentral's name for it is "tRNA-Ser". It matches the Rfam family "tRNA". From Rfam's summary of the family: Transfer RNA (tRNA) molecules are approximately 80 nucleotides in length. Their secondary structure includes four short double-helical elements and three loops (D, anti-codon, and T loops). Further hydrogen bonds mediate the characteristic L-shaped molecular structure. tRNAs have two regions of fundamental functional importance: the anti-codon, which is responsible for specific mRNA codon recognition, and the 3' end, to which the tRNAs corresponding amino acid is attached (by aminoacyl-tRNA synthetases). tRNAs cope with the degeneracy of the genetic code in two manners: having more than one tRNA (with a specific anti-codon) for a particular amino acid; and 'wobble' base-pairing, i.e. permitting non-standard base-pairing at the 3rd anti-codon position. RNAcentral also lists the same sequence under 3 other names. The record is from RNAcentral.
GGAGGAAUACCCAAGUCCGGCUGAAGGGAUCGGUCUUGAAAACCGACAGGCGGGUCAAACCGCGCGGGGGUUCGAAUCCCUCUUCCUCCUCCA